RNAcentral lists this ribosomal RNA (379 nucleotides) under uncultured cyanobacterium. RNAcentral describes it as "bacterial SSU rRNA". It matches the Rfam family "Bacterial small subunit ribosomal RNA", at positions 376 to 770 of the family's 1533-position model. Lineage: Bacteria; Bacillati; Cyanobacteriota. The record is from RNAcentral.
GGCAACCCUGACGGAGCAACGCCGCGUGUGGGAGGACGGCCUUCGGGUUGUAAACCACUUUUCUCAGGGAAGAAGAACUGACGGUACCUGAGGAAAAAGCCUCGGCUAACUCCGUGCCAGCAGCCGCGGUAAUACGGAGGAGGCAAGCGUUAUCCGGAAUUACUGGGCGUAAAGCGUCCGUAGGGGGCUCGUCAAGUCUGCUGUCAAAGCUCGGAGCUCAACUCCGACCCGGCAGUGGAAACUGGGGAGCUAGAGGGCGGCAGGGGCAGAAGGAAUUCCCGGUGUAGCGGUGAAAUGCGUAGAUAUCGGGAAGAACACCAGAGGCGAAAGCGUUCUGCUGGGCCGCGCCUGACCCUGAGGGACGAAAGCCAGGGGAGCG